This 490-nucleotide ribosomal RNA is filed under the name uncultured Denitratisoma sp. RNAcentral's name for it is "bacterial SSU rRNA". It matches the Rfam family "Bacterial small subunit ribosomal RNA", at positions 8 to 490 of the family's 1533-position model. The record is from RNAcentral. Lineage: Bacteria; Pseudomonadati; Pseudomonadota; Betaproteobacteria; Nitrosomonadales; Sterolibacteriaceae.
AGAGUUUGAUCCUGGCUCAGAUUGAACGCUGGCGGCAUGCUUUACACAUGCAAGUCGAACGGUAACGCGGGGGCAACCCUGGCGACGAGUGGCGAACGGGUGAGUAAUACAUCGGAACAUGUCCUUGAAGUGGGGGAUAGCUCGGCGAAAGCCGGAUUAAUACCGCAUACGCUCUGAGGAGGAAAGCGGGGGAUCCGCAAGGACCUCGCGCUUUAGGAGUGGCCGAUGUCGGAUUAGCUAGUUGGCGGGGUAAAGGCCCACCAAGGCGACGAUCCGUAGCUGGUCUGAGAGGAUGAUCAGCCACACUGGGACUGAGACACGGCCCAGACUCCUACGGGAGGCAGCAGUGGGGAAUUUUGGACAAUGGGGGCAACCCUGAUCCAGCCAUGCCGCGUGAGUGAAGAAGGCCUUCGGGUUGUAAAGCUCUUUCGGACGGGACGAAAUGGUCAGGGUGAAUAUCCCUGACUGAUGACGGUACCGUAAUAAGAGA